RNAcentral lists this ribosomal RNA (289 nucleotides) under uncultured bacterium. Its description in RNAcentral is "partial 16S ribosomal RNA". It matches the Rfam family "Bacterial small subunit ribosomal RNA", at positions 45 to 334 of the family's 1533-position model. The record is from RNAcentral.
AUGCCUUACACAUGCAAGUCGAACGGCAGCACGGGGGCAACCCCUGGUGGCGAGUGGCGAACGGGUGAGUAAUAAAUCGGAACGUGCCCAGUAGUGGGGGAUAACCAGUCGAAAGAUUGGCCAAUACCGCAUACGACCUACGGGUGAAAGCGGGGGAUCGCAAGACCUCGCGCUAUCGGAGCGGCCGAUUUCCGAUUAGCUAGUUGGUGAGGUCAAAGCUCACCAAGGCGACGAUCGGUAGCUGGUCUGAGAGGACGGCUAGCCACACUGGGACUGAGACACGGCCCAG